UGGUACUGUUGAAAGGAUCGGUGUCAUCUAGGAACUGGACCCUGCAGACGAACGUAGCCAUGAUGUAUCCAUGCAAGAGCGCAGAAGUGUCCGGUAUGAGUUCCUCCGCAGCGUAACCCAAAGCACUGUCACCAGCAGCAGGCUGCAGACUCUCAGCAGAGUUACGUCUCCAACUUCUCGGCUGGCCCACUGCGGAACCGUCCUAGAAACUGCCA
Erpetoichthys calabaricus (reedfish) is the source of this 215-nucleotide long non-coding RNA. RefSeq lists it as uncharacterized. The record is from RefSeq and is a predicted model, not a curated record. NCBI's taxonomy places the organism in Eukaryota, Metazoa, Chordata, Cladistia, Polypteriformes, Polypteridae. The transcript is spliced from 2 exons.